UACGUAGGGGGCUAGCGUUGUCCGGAUUUAUUGGGCGUAAAGAGCUUGUAGGCGGUCUGUCGCGUCUGCUGUGAAAAUCCGGGGCUCAACCCCGGACUUGCAGUGGGUACGGGCAGACUAGAGUGUGGUAGGGGAGACUGGAAUUCCUGGUGUAGCGGUGAAAUGCGCAGAUAUCAGGAAGAACACCUAUGGCGAAGGCAGCACUCUGGGACGGUACUGACGCUGAGACGCGAAAGCGUGGGGAGCGAACAGG
RNAcentral lists this ribosomal RNA (253 nucleotides) under uncultured bacterium. RNAcentral's name for it is "partial 16S ribosomal RNA". It matches the Rfam family "Bacterial small subunit ribosomal RNA", at positions 524 to 776 of the family's 1533-position model. The record is from RNAcentral.